UGAGGGAUGACGGCCUUCGGGUUGUAAACCUCUUUCAGCAGGGAAGAAGCGAAAGUGACGGUACCUGCAGAAGAAGCGCCGGCUAACUACGUGCCAGCAGCCGCGGUAAUACGUAGGGCGCGAGCGUUGUCCGGAAUUAUUGGGCGUAAAGAGCUCGUAGGCGGCUUGUCGCGUCGGUUGUGAAAGCCCGGGGCUUAACCCCGGGUCUGCAGUCGAUACGGGCAGGCUAGAGUUCGGUAGGGGAGAUCGGAAUUCCUGGUGUAGCGGUGAAAUGCGCAGAUAUCAGGAGGAACACCGGUGGCGAAGGCGGAUCUCUGGGCCGAUACUGACGCUGAGGAGCGAAAGCGUGGGGAGCGAACAGGAUUAGAUACCCUGGUAGUCCACGCCGUAAACGG
RNAcentral lists this ribosomal RNA (395 nucleotides) under uncultured bacterium. Its description in RNAcentral is "bacterial SSU rRNA". It matches the Rfam family "Bacterial small subunit ribosomal RNA", at positions 402 to 809 of the family's 1533-position model. The record is from RNAcentral.